RNAcentral lists this long non-coding RNA (394 nucleotides) under Nicotiana benthamiana. RNAcentral's name for it is "long non-coding RNA (NBEN_LNC030188)". The record is from RNAcentral. Lineage: Eukaryota; Viridiplantae; Streptophyta; Magnoliopsida; Solanales; Solanaceae.
CACGAUCAGCCGCGGAUAACAAAGAAGGACCCGCCAUUUCUGUCCUUGGAGAACACCCUCAUCUUGGUCUUGAUCUGCUGCUCACCUUCUUUUGGAGGAGCCAACAAAAUUCAUCCAAAAUACUCCAUUAAAUCUCACCCUUGAGAAACACUAGUGACCCUCCCUCACUUCAACACACUGCUAAUCAGCUCCAAAACCUCACCAAAACACCCAUAAAACCAACCCCAAAAGCUACCUAAAAACCAUAUCCAAACUUCAAUGAAAACGAUCUUGAAGCAGUCUCAAAGCAACCCCCGAAAAGCCAGUAAAAAUACAUCAAAUUUCAGCUCUUAAAACCAUCAAAACCAGUCCAAAAGUUAGCCAAAAACUCAGCAACUCUUGUAUUUUUUUAGUC